RNAcentral lists this ribosomal RNA (356 nucleotides) under uncultured bacterium. RNAcentral's name for it is "bacterial SSU rRNA". It matches the Rfam family "Bacterial small subunit ribosomal RNA", at positions 29 to 375 of the family's 1533-position model. The record is from RNAcentral.
AACGAACGCUGGCGGCGCGCCUAAUACAUGCAAGUCGAGCGAGAAGACGUAGCAAUACGUUUGUAAAGCGGCGAACGGGUGAGGAAUACAUGGGUAACCUACCCUCGAGUGGGGAAUAACUAGCCGAAAGGUUAGCUAAUACCGCGUACGCUCCUUGGACUUCGGUUCAGGGAGGAAAGCGAUACCGUGGGUAUCGCGCUCUUGGAUGGGCUCAUGUCCUAUCAGCUUGUUGGUGAGGUAACGGCUCACCAAGGCUUCGACGGGUAGCUGGUCUGAGAGGACGAUCAGCCACACUGGCACUGCGACACGGGCCAGACUCCUACGGGAGGCAGCAGUAAGGAAUAUUGCGCAAUGGG